AAUCAAAACUUUCAACAACGGAUCUCUUGGUUCUGGCAUCGAUGAAGAACGCAGCGAAAUGCGAUAAGUAAUGUGAAUUGCAGAAUUCAGUGAAUCAUCGAAUCUUUGAACGCACAUUGCGCCCGCCAGUAUUCUGGCGGGCAUGCCUGUUC
RNAcentral lists this ribosomal RNA (152 nucleotides) under Metapochonia suchlasporia. RNAcentral describes it as "5.8S ribosomal RNA". It matches the Rfam family "5.8S ribosomal RNA". Rfam says of the family: 5.8S ribosomal RNA (5.8S rRNA) is a component of the large subunit of the eukaryotic ribosome. Lineage: Eukaryota; Fungi; Ascomycota; Sordariomycetes; Hypocreales; Clavicipitaceae. The record is from RNAcentral.